UACAGAGGGUGCGAGCGUUGUUCGGAAUUAUUGGGCGUAAAGCGCGCGUAGGCGGCUACUUAAGUCGGAUGUGAAAGCCCUUGGCUCAACUGAGGAAGUGCACCCGAAACUGAGUGGCUAGAGUACGAAAGAGGGUCGCGGAAUUCCCGGUGUAGAGGUGAAAUUCGUAGAUAUCGGGAGGAACACCGGUGGCGAAGGCGGCGACCUGGGUCGAUACUGACGCUGAGGUGCGAAAGCGUGGGGAGCAAACAGG
This 253-nucleotide ribosomal RNA is filed under the name uncultured bacterium. RNAcentral's name for it is "partial 16S ribosomal RNA". It matches the Rfam family "Bacterial small subunit ribosomal RNA", at positions 524 to 776 of the family's 1533-position model. The record is from RNAcentral.